AAUGACAGAUCAGUGCGCGAG
Molecule: microRNA, 21 nt
Filed under: Pristionchus pacificus
Lineage: Eukaryota; Metazoa; Nematoda; Chromadorea; Rhabditida; Neodiplogasteridae
Description: ppc-miR-2238a
Source: miRBase by way of RNAcentral